GGGAGUGCGCCGGAGUAGGAGAGCCGGGCCAGACUGUAAAUCUGGUGUCUUUGACUGAAUAGGUUCGAGUCCUAUCACUCCCA
This 83-nucleotide transfer RNA is filed under the name Saprospiraceae bacterium. RNAcentral describes it as "tRNA-Tyr". It matches the Rfam family "tRNA". From Rfam's summary of the family: Transfer RNA (tRNA) molecules are approximately 80 nucleotides in length. Their secondary structure includes four short double-helical elements and three loops (D, anti-codon, and T loops). The record is from RNAcentral. Lineage: Bacteria; Pseudomonadati; Bacteroidota; Saprospiria; Saprospirales; Saprospiraceae. RNAcentral also lists the same sequence under 2 other names.